GCUCCCAUCGUCUAGUGGCCUAGGAUGCCGCCCUUUCACGGCGGACACAGGGGUUCGAAUCCCCUUGGGAGUA
RNAcentral lists this transfer RNA (73 nucleotides) under bacterium. Its description in RNAcentral is "tRNA-Glu". It matches the Rfam family "tRNA". From Rfam's summary of the family: Transfer RNA (tRNA) molecules are approximately 80 nucleotides in length. Their secondary structure includes four short double-helical elements and three loops (D, anti-codon, and T loops). The record is from RNAcentral. RNAcentral also lists the same sequence under 1 other name.